UACGAAGGGGGCUAGCGUUGCUCGGAAUCACUGGGCGUAAAGGGUGCGUAGGCGGGUCUUUAAGUCAGGGGUGAAAUCCUGGAGCUCAACUCCAGAACUGCCUUUGAUACUGAGGAUCUUGAGUUCGGGAGAGGUGAGUGGAACUGCGAGUGUAGAGGUGAAAUUCGUAGAUAUCAGGAAGAACACCCGUGGCGAAGGCGGCUCUCUGGGACGGUACUGACGCUGAGACGCGAAAGCGUGGGGAGCAAACAGG
This 253-nucleotide ribosomal RNA is filed under the name uncultured bacterium. RNAcentral describes it as "partial 16S ribosomal RNA". It matches the Rfam family "Bacterial small subunit ribosomal RNA", at positions 524 to 776 of the family's 1533-position model. The record is from RNAcentral.